GACGAACCGUGCGAACGUUGUUCGGAAUCACUGGGCUUAAAGGGCGCGUAGGCGGCCCGCCGCGUCCGGGGUGAAAUCCUCCCGCUCAACGGGAGGACGGCCUCGGAUACGGGCGGGCUGGAGGGGGGUAGGGGCACGCGGAACUGUGGGUGGAGCGGUGAAAUGCUUAGAGAUGACAUAGAACACCAAUUGCGUAGGCAGCUUACUACACGAAUAUUGACGCUGAGGCACGAAGGUCAGGGGAGCAAACGGG
RNAcentral lists this ribosomal RNA (253 nucleotides) under uncultured bacterium. RNAcentral's name for it is "partial 16S ribosomal RNA". It matches the Rfam family "Bacterial small subunit ribosomal RNA", at positions 524 to 776 of the family's 1533-position model. The record is from RNAcentral.